Long non-coding RNA from Oncorhynchus gorbuscha (pink salmon), 1149 nucleotides. RefSeq lists it as uncharacterized. The record is from RefSeq and is a predicted model, not a curated record. NCBI's taxonomy places the organism in Eukaryota, Metazoa, Chordata, Actinopteri, Salmoniformes, Salmonidae. The transcript is spliced from 5 exons.
ACUGUAAAUAGCUUUUUUGGCUGAAAAUCUGAAGUUGAUCGCCCCUUUCAAUGAAUGGGUUUUUGUCGUCCAAAAUGUUGAACCCCUUCGAUUGAAUUUUGGAAUAGUCCAUUACAAAAGAAGCGCAACAUGCACUCCGAAGUUUGAUGUUACGCAAGCUGAAUCAAUGUCAACAAUGGCGGCUCGUUUUAAAACAGGUCGAGGAUCGAAGCGCAAGGCAAACAACAAGGCAGAGACUGAGGAGGAGACUUUAGUCAUCGAGCGAAAGCGGGGUAAAAGAGAGGAGGGGGAAACGGAGACUGCUACAGAGGGCCAGAGGGUGGUCAUUGAACACUGUAAGAGCUGAUACGUGUACAGACGGUGUGCUGAGGGGGUGCGAGAUGCCCUCCUGGCUGCCCGCCCAGACCUCCUCGUGGUUCUGAACCCCCAGAAACCCCGCAAGAAAAGCCUGGAGGUCACACUUGUGGAGGGAGAGAAAGAGGUGUGCCUCUGGACAGGCAUAAAGCUAGGCCCACCUGCCAGGCUGAAGUUCCCUGAGCCUGCCAUUGUGGUUGCAGCCCUGGAGGAGGCACUGAAAAAUGAAUAGAGACCCAGUGAAGCUGUUCCUCUUGGUUUUGGAAACUGGACGCAGAAUGAUGGGGACUGACCAACGGGGUUGCUCCCAGUCUGUCCUCUGAUGACCCAAGCGUCAAGCUCCUCUGGCCUGGAUACAUGGUGACAUCUAGUGGUAUCUCUCUGAAGUGCAACACAUUCCCUCUAUUCGGUUACUGUACAGUGGUGGUUCACAAAAUAUUUUCAGUAUACUGUCAGUGUAUUCCCUGAGUAUCACCUUAAAAAAUAAUAUCUGUCCAUAAUAAUGACCACACUGUGACAAAGUGGCUUGAUACACACGCAUUGAGUUGGCUUGUUUACACUGGGGGUUUACUCUUUAACCGUUUGGGAAACACUGGAUAACAAUAUAUUUGUUGCUGAGUAUUCUCUGGUUAAUUUCCUAUGUUAUGUCUCAUGUGUUUUAAUAUUUUUUCUAUGGAGAAUAACACUCAUGUUUCUAUACUCUUCUUCUGUCUCAUUCUUUUUUUAGAAAAGUAAUGGAAUAUGUGCAUAAACUUUUGUGCCUGUCAAAAAUAAAUGUUCUACAUUUUAAAUCAA